Molecule: non-coding RNA, 104 nt
Organism: Triticum aestivum (bread wheat)
Lineage: Eukaryota; Viridiplantae; Streptophyta; Magnoliopsida; Poales; Poaceae
Source: Rfam
GUUGACAGUGAUGAUUUGCAAAUAUUCAAGCACAACAUUCCAAAUCACAAGUUUUCUCUCAGGAGUUGAUUUUGAUGCAGCUUAUCCCGCUGAACAGAGACAUC